RNAcentral lists this ribosomal RNA (1471 nucleotides) under uncultured marine bacterium. RNAcentral describes it as "16S ribosomal RNA". It matches the Rfam family "Bacterial small subunit ribosomal RNA". The record is from RNAcentral.
GAGUUUGAUCAUGGCUCAGAUUGAACGCUGGCGGUAGGCUUAACACAUGCAAGUCGUGCGAGAAAGUAUCUUCGGAUAUGAGUAGAGCGGCGGACGGGUGAGUAACGCGUAGGAAUCUACCUAGUAGAAGGGGAUAGCCCGGGGAAACCCGGAUUAAUACCGUAUACCUCCUUCGGGAGAAAGAAGGCCUCUCUUUGAAGCUUUCGCUACUAGAUGAGCCUGCGUAAGAUUAGCUUGUUGGUGAGGUAAAGGCUCACCAAGGCGACGAUCUUUAGCUGGUCUGAGAGGACGAUCAGCCACAUUGGGACUGAGACACGGCCCAAACUCCUACGGGAGGCAGCAGUGGGGAAUCUUGCACAAUGGAGGAAACUCUGAUGCAGCGAUGCCGCGUGAGUGAAGAAGGCCUUUGGGUUGUAAAGCUCUUUCGUCGGGGAAGAAAAUGACUGUACCCGAAUAAGAAGGUCCGGCUAACUUCGUGCCAGCAGCCGCGGUAAUACGAAGGGACCUAGCGUAGUUCGGAAUUACUGGGCUUAAAGAGUUCGUAGGUGGUUGAAAAAGUUGGUGGUGAAAUCCCAGAGCUUAACUCUGGAACUGCCAUCAAAACUUUUCAGCUAGAGUAUGAUAGAGGAAAGCAGAAUUUCUAGUGUAGAGGUGAAAUUCGUAGAUAUUAGAAAGAAUACCAAUUGCGAAGGCAGCUUUCUGGAUCAUUACUGACACUGAGGAACGAAAGCAUGGGUAGCGAAGAGGAUUAGAUACCCUCGUAGUCCAUGCCGUAAACGAUGUGUGUUAGACGUUGGAAAUUUAUUUUCAGUGUCGCAGGGAAACCGAUAAACACACCGCCUGGGGAGUACGACCGCAAGGUUAAAACUCAAAUGAAUUGACGGGGACCCGCACAAGUAGUGGAGCAUGUGGUUUAAUUCGAAGAUACGCGCAGAACCUUACCAACACUUGACAUGUUCGUCGCGACUCUAAGAGAUUAGAGUUUUCGGUUCGGCCGGACGAAACACAGGUGCUGCAUGGCUGUCGUCAGCUCGUGUCGUGAGAUGUUGGGUUAAGUCCCGCAACGAGCGCAACCCUCACUUUUAGUUGCCAUCAUUAAGUUGGGCACUCUGAAAGAACUGCCAGUGAUAAGCUGGAGGAAGGUGGGGAUGACGUCAAGUCCUCAUGGCCCUUAUGGCCAGGGCUUCACACGUAAUACAAUGGUCGGUACAGAGGGAAGCCAACCCGCGAGGGGGAGCCAAUCUCAGAAAGCCGGUCGUAGUCCGGAUUGUUGUCUGCAACUCGACAGCAUGAAGUCGGAAUCGCUAGUAAUCGCGGAUCAGCAUGUCGCGGUGAAUACGUUCCCGGGCCUUGUACACACCGCCCGUCACACCAUGGGAGUGGGUUUUACCAGAAGUAGUUAGUCUAUCCGCAAGGGGGACGAUUACCACGGUAGGAUUUACAGCUGGGGUGAAGUCGUAACAAGGUAACC